Molecule: ribosomal RNA, 798 nt
Filed under: uncultured bacterium
Lineage: Bacteria
Description: bacterial SSU rRNA
Rfam family: Bacterial small subunit ribosomal RNA
Source: RNAcentral
AGAGUUUGAUCAUGGCUCAGAACGAACGUUGGCGGCGUGGAUUAGGCAUGCAAGUCGAACGAAUCCCAGGGGGCUUGCUCUCUGGGGGAAGUGGCGAAAGGGGCAGUAAGGCGUGGCUAACCUACCUCGGGGACGGGGAUAGCCCUCCUAACGGAGGGGUAAUACCCGGCGAUUUGGCGAGAGGGCAUCUUCUUGCCAGGAAACGAAUUUCGCCUCGAGAGGGGGUCACGUGCUAUUAGCUUGUUGGCGGGGUAACGGCCCACCAAGGCAAAGAUGGCUAGCGGGUGUGAGAGCACGACCCGCGCCACUGGCACUGAGACACUGGCCAGACUCCUACGGGAGGCUGCAGUCGAGGAUCUUCGGCAAAGGGCGCAAGCCUGACCGAGCGACGCCGCGUGUGCGAUGAAGGCCUUCGGGUUGUAAAGCACUGUCGAGGGGGAGGAAAGCCCGCAAGGGUCUGACCUAUCCCUGGAGGAAGCACGGGCUAAGUUCGUGCCAGCAGCCGCGGUAAGACGAACCGUGCAAACGUUGUUCGGAUUCACUGGGCUUAAAGGGCGCGUAGGCGGCAAUCCAAGUCAGGGGUGAAAUCCUCCGGCUCAACCGGAGAACAGCUUUUGAUACUGGGUGGCUUGAGGGAGGUAGGGGCAGGUGGAACUUCCGGUGGAGCGGUGAAAUGCGUAGAUAUCGGAAGGAACGCCGGUGGCGAAAGCGACCUGCUGGACCUCUUCUGACGCUGAGGCGCGAAAGCCAGGGGAGCAAACGGGAUUAGAUACCCCGGUAGUCCUGGCCCUAAACGAU